This is a long non-coding RNA of Pan paniscus (pygmy chimpanzee), 1008 nucleotides long. NCBI's taxonomy places the organism in Eukaryota, Metazoa, Chordata, Mammalia, Primates, Hominidae. The record is from Ensembl.
AGGACACAGCACACCCCCCAUUUAAUAACAGAAAAUAUUUAUCCCUGCAUACGAUGGAGAUACCCAUGGAAAUUCCAAAAAUCACUGUGUGUGUGGAAGUGGGGUGUCUUUACAUGGGGUUGGUCCUUCAAUGAUCUUGGUUUAAGAAUUCACCCUUGAAGCUGAAAACGAAAGACAAUUGAGGAUGGCCAAGACAGGAAGUAGUGCCCAGUACCAAGGACAGCGCUGCUCCCUGGACAGCAAGGUUGAUUUAGGAAGCAACCUGUUUCCAAAAUAAUAGAAAAGGCCUGUGCUCUGCGUCAGGAAGGAGGUCUUUGUAUCUCCUUCCAUGAGUUGGAAGAGAAAAAAAUGUCAUGGAUAUUCUGGAAGCUCCUUGAAUCCCUGGAUACUUGACUCCUCAGGCAGACCUCUGGUGAGAUUGAGAAAGAGUCCAGACUGGUGUCAAUAUCACCCUGUUGGCCUUGGUUACCUAUCCAGUAUCCAUGCCCCUACCAAUCGUUUCUCCCAUUCCACGGAUCCUGGAUUGGGCUCAGGGACAACUGCCUCCUCCGGAAGGAAGAGAGCUGGUCUCCCUCAGAAUAGAGUGCAGCUGAAGGAGGAGCAGCAGAGCCAAAGCAGCCCACCUUGGUGCCCUGGAUCCCGCCCCACCUCUGGGUUUCUUGUCCUGUGAGAUGAUAAAACUCCUUCUUGUUUGGGCUGGAUGACCUACAGCCAGAGGCAUGCACUCUGAUAAUCGCCAGUCCAUGAGGAAAAGGCCAGGGGACCCUCUGGGCACCCCCUCCUCAGAGCCUCUCCCUCUGGCAAGAGUUUCCUCUCCAUCUCCUUUUCUUGGCUUCACCUGGAAACAAAACUGACAAACCAUAUGUUCCACAGGCCUGAGCUCAUCUCUAAUUAGUGCUCAGAGGCAGUGGUGGGGCUGCCGGGAGGGGCUGGCUUAAGAAGUCUGCUCCCUGCCUCCCACCUACAGAGCUAAGGGAGCCUCUCGACCCUGCACUCAUAUUCCUCUCC